UAAUGACAGUAUCCAUUUGGGUAAAAAAGUGUCAACAGCACACAGUAAUCAGCACUGAAUUCAGGAGUGAGCUACUACUUUUAUUUUUGUGGGAUAACCAAUCAGGGCCAACACAUCCAACCAAGGAAAUAGACACGGGAAUCAAUACCUCCAAAAAGCAGAAAGGGGGCUGGGGAUGUAGCUCAGUUGGUAGAAUGUUUGCCUAGCAUGCACAACGCCCUGGAUUCAAUCCCCAGCAACACACACACACACACACACACACACACAAAAUCCCAGAAAGACUUGCAACAACAGCCCUUCUCAAUUCUCAGUGUGAGGCUGGCCCUAUUUCUUGGCCAUGUGAUCUGGGUCUGGCCAAUCAGUAUUUCUCAUCACAUUCACUUUGGUCCAAAGAUGGACACUUAAUCUCAGUCAGAAUAAUCAUACUCAAUCAUGGGAAUUCUGCUGGAGCUAUUGAGAAAGACUACCUCCCUUUCUUUCUGCUAGAGUUACUAAGGUGAUAAGACAUAAUGAUGCUGCUACUGGGAGCUAUUUUGCGUCCUCUGGGGGAGAGUCUGUCUGAGACUGAUUUCCAGAGGGAAAUGCAGAGCUGGAAGAGAGACAGAAAGAAAAAGAUGUCUACUGACAUCAUUUGCUCUCUGGCUCCAGCUAUAUUGAUCUGACCUUUCUGGCUAUAGACUCAAAUAUUACCUUUUUUUGACUAAACCAGUUUGAGUUUAGUUUCUGUCGUUUGUAAUUGAGAAUCCUCAUGAGAACAUUUUUCUUAUGAUCAAGGGUACCUUUUUUUUUUUUUUUGGUUAGAGGAUUUCCUCAAGCUACAGGGGUUUUGCUGUGUUUAUGUAAAUGUUUUUCUUCUCUGAAACUUCUGUAAAUGGUUUUUCUCCAUCACAUAGAGACUCAGACAGAACCAAGUUUAUGAAGUAACCAGACAGAUUAGGAGACAGGUUAGAGAGAAAUGAUACCAAUUAGUUCAUUGUGAAAGAGUCAUGGUUGCUGAGGAAGAGGCUCAUUGAUUAUCAGGGUCAUCUGGAUUUCAUGGUCUGAGUGAGCUGGAACGGAGUAGUUUGGGGACUGGAGUAGCACAGUACUGCCUUGUAGAUGUUGCCCUGGAACUGCAAAUGGGGUGGGGGAGAUUAAAAAUAGGCUGCUUUACUCUCCUUCUCUUUCAGUCUGCCUCUCACAAUUGUUGCCACUGAGAAUUUUAGAAACUACCUGCAGAUCUCAAUCUUUGAUAACACUUCUGAUAAUAAUCCUACCUUUUACCCCCGGACUAAGACUCCUAUAAGCAUGAUGUAAUCAUCUGAUUUCAAUUGGCCCAGCCAUCUGGAAAAGGUGCCUUUCAAUCAUCCGCUUGCACUGGAACUAAGCCUAAGAUUACCACAUCUAUAUUUAGUGACUUCUAAUCACAGUAUCAAUAAAUAUGGCUUCUCAUUGCAAAGCUGGAUAAUUGCACUUAUUCUUGUUAGCAUCUCAUGUGCC
This 1479-nucleotide long non-coding RNA is filed under the name Marmota monax (woodchuck). Lineage: Eukaryota; Metazoa; Chordata; Mammalia; Rodentia; Sciuridae. The record is from RNAcentral.